Molecule: long non-coding RNA, 266 nt
Filed under: Hordeum vulgare
Lineage: Eukaryota; Viridiplantae; Streptophyta; Magnoliopsida; Poales; Poaceae
Description: long non-coding RNA (HVUL_LNC020911)
Source: RNAcentral
UAUUGCACAUCUAAGUCCUAUAGCAUUGAUCUUACGUGGAGAUUCAUGUUGUUUUUCUUUUUCUUUUCUUUUUUAUGUUUGAUUUAAUCAUUCAGAUGUAAAAUAACUAUGUCACAUUUAGAUGUGUCUAGCUAGACACAUCCGUAGUAGUAACAUCCAUUAAGAAGAGGAAACUUGUUAACAUGAAAUCUUGUUGUCGCCAAGUUAAAUGCGUCAUUUUCUUAAAUCAUAUAUGAACCUGUAUUUAAUUACCCAUCAGAUUGUCC